This is a long non-coding RNA of Spinacia oleracea (spinach), 412 nucleotides long. RefSeq lists it as uncharacterized. The record is from RefSeq and is a predicted model, not a curated record. The transcript has 3 exons. NCBI's taxonomy places the organism in Eukaryota, Viridiplantae, Streptophyta, Magnoliopsida, Caryophyllales, Amaranthaceae.
UGUUUUAAGCUUGAGUAAUUGAUGCGUACAUAAUUUCUCAUCUAUUUGCUCCCAAGUAAUUGACGCGUGCAUAAUGCCUUGACGGAGGGGAGGGGGUCUGAUUUCUUCAACCAUCAGAAAUCUGUUUCUGACAACCUUGCAGCUUUGGCAUAGAUUGCUUAUUCAGGCAAAGAUUGUGGUUCUGGUUGAGUACAGAAAUAAGGAUCUUAAUCACGUGGAGUGGGCCAAGGCUUUGAAGGAGCUCUACUUACCAGGUUUGAGGGAUUAUGUUAAGAGUUUCUAUCCACUUGGACCACUGUGGAGUUUCUGUAGCAAAGCUAUUGUCUCUGCUGCGCCUAAAUCCCCUGCACCAGCUGCUCCUGCAACACCCCCACCACCUCCUGCUCCUUUCUUCUCGGAUCUAAACCUUCCU